GAAAAACAAUCACUCAUUACUUUCCUUUUCCCUCGUCAGGCACUGUAACAGAAGCCAAUCAGAAAACAAAUGGACAUGCAUUGACAGAGGCACAAGUGCAAAAACAUAUGAGAAAAGCAAAAACAAACCACAUAAUUAGUUCAACUGGACUUUAAAAAAUCUGAUAUGCAUCAAUUCAGACUAGCAUGCUUAAAACAAAGCAUACAAGCAUGCCACAUUCAGAGCCACAGCCAGAAAACAAAAGCAUCUCCACUUCUGUUUAUUUGCAAAAGUUGUAAUUGAUAAAGAUAACAUAAUAAAACUUCAAUGGUGGCAGCCACAAGAACUGUCAAAGAUGCAUGAAUUUCAACCAGUGACCGAAAACAUGUGAUGUUAAAUAAUGAGGACAUGUUCCCAACAAUACUACAUAUAAUAGAUCUAAAAGCCUGAAAGUGUAUUAUGAUUAUUGCCUGCAUUUAUUUUGGUAAGCUACAAGCAUUUUCAGUAAAUUAUCCGCAUAAUUUUGGGCCAUUCUGACUAACCCCUCAGAAGGGCUUAGUCAUGUCAAUAAUCCCUCAAAAGAUAGGAAGACAGAAGAAAUAAACAAGUUAAACAACUACUAGUUAUGCCUUCCUGUUCUCAGACAGGCAAUAUGGAGUAAAUCAAUGAGGAUCAAUCAAUAUUACCAACUUCGGUUAGUGAAGGGAAUGCCUACAAAUAGGCAUAUGCAGAACUGUCAAUUCAGAAUAAUUAGUAGCAAAGUGACUACCAAAUAGGGAAGAUAAGAGAUUGAUGAAUUACACAAAGAUGCAUGUAGAAAUCCAGUAUACUCUAAAUUAAAAUAAAAGAUAGAAGAUAUUGCAAAAUAAGGUAACAAGCCAAAGAGAAAAUA
Molecule: unclassified non-coding RNA, 871 nt
Filed under: Hevea brasiliensis (rubber tree)
Lineage: Eukaryota; Viridiplantae; Streptophyta; Magnoliopsida; Malpighiales; Euphorbiaceae
Source: RNAcentral